Caenorhabditis elegans is the source of this 21-nucleotide non-coding RNA. Lineage: Eukaryota; Metazoa; Nematoda; Chromadorea; Rhabditida; Rhabditidae. The record is from Ensembl.
UACCAGUGGUUUUUGGGAUCG